Molecule: ribosomal RNA, 440 nt
Filed under: uncultured bacterium
Lineage: Bacteria
Description: partial 16S ribosomal RNA
Rfam family: Bacterial small subunit ribosomal RNA
Source: RNAcentral
CCUACGGGGUGCAGCAGUGGGGGAUAUUGCGCAAUGGGGGAAACCCUGAUGCAGCGACGCCGCGUGUGGGAAGACGGUCCUCUGGAUUGUAAACCACUGUCCCCAGGGACGAAAGUUACGGGACCUGGGGAGGCAACUCCGGCUAACGACGUGCCAGCAGACGCGGUAAUACGUAGGGAGCGGGCGUUGUCCGGAAUUACUGGGGGGAAAGGGAGCGUAGGCGGGACUGCAAGUUGGGUGUCAAAUCACCCGGCUCAACCGGUAGCCGCACUUAAAACUGUAGUUCUUGAGUGAAGUAGAGGCAGGCGGAAUUCCUAGUGUAGCGGUGAAAUGCGUAGAUAUUAGGAGGAACACCAGUGGCGAAGGCGACCUGCUGGGCUUUUACUGACGCUGAGGCUCGAAAGUGUGGGGAGCAAACAGGAUUAGAUACCCGUGUAGUC